GAUGAACGCUGGCGGCGUGCCUAAUACAUGCAAGUCGAGCGAACAGACGAGGAGCUUGCUCCUCUGACGUUAGCGGCGGACGGGUGAGUAACACGUGGAUAACCUACCUAUAAGACUGGGAUAACUUCGGGAAACCGGAGCUAAUACCGGAUAAUAUAUUGAACCGCAUGGUUCAAUAGUGAAAGACGGUUUUGCUGUCACUUAUAGAUGGAUCCGCGCCGCAUUCGCUAGUUGGUAGGGUAACGGCUUACCAAGGCGAGGAUGCGUAGCCGACCUGAGAGGGUGAUCCGCCACACUGGAACUGAGACACGGUCCAGACUCCUACGGGAGGCAGCAGUAGGGACUCUUCCGCAAUGGGCGAAAGCCUGACGGAGCAACGCCGCGUGAGUGAUGAAGGUCUUCUGAUCGUAGAGCUCUGUUAUUAGGGAGGAACAAAUGUGUAAGUAACUAUGCACGUCUUGACGGUACCUGGUCAGAAAGCCCCGGCUAACUACGUG
This 497-nucleotide ribosomal RNA is filed under the name uncultured bacterium. RNAcentral describes it as "partial 16S ribosomal RNA". It matches the Rfam family "Bacterial small subunit ribosomal RNA", at positions 28 to 507 of the family's 1533-position model. The record is from RNAcentral.